RNAcentral lists this ribosomal RNA (86 nucleotides) under uncultured bacterium. Its description in RNAcentral is "partial 16S ribosomal RNA". The record is from RNAcentral.
UAGAUGUAAGGUCCUUAGGAUAGUAAAUCUUCAGCGGGACGAUAAUGACGGUACCCGACAAGAAGAAGCCCCGGCUAACUUCGUGC